UGCGGGCGCGGAUGUGGCUGCGGCAUCAGGAUUGCACAGGAUUACAUCUAAUCAAGCAGGGAAUACAGUAGGCACUUGAUACUGGCAGCUUGCUUGCCCUUCCCUGAGGCUUUUCAUGUGAGCUCUUUAAAGCCCCAUCUUUCUCACCCUGUGCUUUCUGAAUCCAAGUUCUGGACUCAAUAUUUGUCAUUGUAAAAUAUCACAUUAUUAGAUGGGUCUCAAUCUCCCUCAGUUUCUUAGAGCCUCCAUCAUGACACCCUGACUUACUCUCCCUCCAUCCCCAGGCAUAGUUUCAGCUCUGACAACCUAGGUGCUUGUGGUUCCAUUACAACCUCUUAUAAGCCCUGUGGCACUCCACUAGGGGUAUUCCAGGGGUACAGGUAUCCAUUGAUUUGCAUCCUUUGUGCAGCUGGCCCCCAACUCUGUCUUUCCUAUAGAGGUCUCACAGGUGACCUUGGUAAAAAUUCAUAUGCACAGUUGUAUCUUGUUUGCAUUUAGACUCUAAGGGAAACAUUCAAGUGAUUCUGUAUUUUUGUUGUUUUUUAAUCUGCAGAAUCUGACCAGAUGAGUUCUUAAUGAGCCCAUGAGGACUUCCAGUUCUUGCCUUCCUCUUCUGAAGGGUGUGUUUGGUGGCUACUCCAGGAAACAUGGCCAAGUUUGCCCUGAAUCAGAACGUGUCUGACCUGGGCGGCUCUCACCUGUGCCACGGCCCGAUUGGGGGCUCCCGCAGCCCGAGUUCGUCCUACACGGUGGAGACGCCCUAUGGCUUCCACUUGGACCUGGAUUUCCUCAAAUACGUGGAGGAACUGGAGCGCGGCCCUGUCGCCCGUC
Molecule: long non-coding RNA, 831 nt
Organism: Myotis brandtii (Brandt's bat)
Lineage: Eukaryota; Metazoa; Chordata; Mammalia; Chiroptera; Vespertilionidae
Exons: 4
Source: RefSeq, a predicted model, not a curated record